This 477-nucleotide ribosomal RNA is filed under the name uncultured anaerobic ammonium-oxidizing bacterium. RNAcentral's name for it is "bacterial SSU rRNA". It matches the Rfam family "Bacterial small subunit ribosomal RNA", at positions 365 to 832 of the family's 1533-position model. The record is from RNAcentral.
UUCGCAAUGCCCGAAAGGGUGACGAAGCGACGCCGCGUGUGGGAAGAAGGCCUUCGGGUUGUAAACCGCUGUCGGGAGUUAGGAAAUGCAAGGAUGUUAAUAGCGUCUUUGCUUGACUAAGGCUCCGGAGGAAGCCACGGCUAACUCCGUGCCAGCAGCCGCGGUAAUACAGAGGCGGCAAGCGUUGUUCGGAAUUAUUGGGCGUAAAGAGCACGUAGGCGGCCGUGUAAGUCGGUUGUGAAAGCCUUCUGCUUAACGGAAGAACAGCAUCCGAUACUGCAUGGCUUGAGUGCGGGAGGGGAGGGUGGAACUUCUGGUGGAGCGGUGAAAUGCGUAGAUAUCAGAAGGAACGCCGGCGGCGAAAGCGGCUCUCUGGCCCGUAACUGACGCUGAGUGUGCGAAAGCUAGGGGAGCAAACGGGAUUAGAUACCCCGGUAGUCCUAGCCGUAAACGAUGGGCACUAAGUAGAGGGGUUUU